CGGUAAUUCCAGCUCCAAUAGCGUAUACUAAAGUUGUUGCAGUUAAAAAGCUCGUAGUUGGAUUUCUGCGGGGACGGAGCGGCCGGACGCAACUUGCGUCUCGAGCUAGCGCUUUCCCCGCAUCCUGCCGCGAACCGUGCUACCAUUAGCUUGGUGGCGCUGGGGAUCGGCUCGAUUACUUUGAGAAAAAUAGAGUGUUCAAAGCAGGCCACACGCCUUGAAUAAGUUAGCAUGGAAUAAUGACUAAGGACUUCGGUUCUAUUUUGUUGGUGUUCGGGACUGAAGUAAUGAUUGAUAGGGACAGUUGGGGCGGUCUGUAUUCCAAAGCGAGAGGUGAAAUUCUUAGACCUUCGGAAGACAAACAGCUGCGAAAGCGUUCCGCAAGGAUGUUCCCUUUGAUCAAGAACGAAAGUUGGGGGAUCGAAGACGAUCAGAUACCGUCGUAGUCUCAACUAUAAACUAUACCAGCUAGGGAUCGGUCAACGUUUAAUCAUUCGACUUGAUCGGCACCUUAUGAGAAAUCAAAGCAUCUGGGUUCCGGGGGGAGUAUGGUCGCAAGGCUGAAACUUAAAGGAAUUGACGGAAGGGCACCACCAGCCGUGGAGCCUGUGGCUUAAUUUGACUCAACACGGGAAAACUUACCAGGUCCAGACAUAGUAAGGAUUGACAGAUUGAUAGCUCUUUCUUGAUUCUGUGGGUGGUGGUGCAUGGCCGUUCUUAGUUGGUGGAGUGAUUUGUCUGGUUAAUUCCGUUAACGAACGAGACCCCAGCCUGCUAAAUAGCGCGGUUGAGCUUUGCUCGAUGCGAGCUUCUUAGAGGGACUAUGAUGCGCGAUAGCACAUGGAAGUUUGGGGCAAUAACAGGUCUGUGAUGCCCUUAGAUGUUCUGGGCCGCACACGGGCUACACUGGCGCCUGCAACGAGCAUAUCAGCUGGCCUGAGAGGGUCUUGGCUAAUCUUUUGAACCGGCGCCGUGCUUGGGAUUGACCAUUGCAAUUGUUGGUCAUGCAACGAGGAAUGCCUUGUAAACGCGAGUCAUCAGCUCGCAUUGAAUACGUCCCUGCCCCUUGUACACACCGCCC
This 1081-nucleotide ribosomal RNA is filed under the name uncultured Rhizaria. RNAcentral describes it as "SSU rRNA". It matches the Rfam family "Eukaryotic small subunit ribosomal RNA", at positions 577 to 1674 of the family's 1831-position model. The record is from RNAcentral.